CUGAUUCCUUCUGUCAGGGAGGUGAACAACAAUCUAUAUACAGCACAGCAUACAGAGUAUCUGCAUCAAAGAAAUAGUGCUUCAUAUGAAACACGAAAGACAAAAAGGAAGUUAUUAGCUUUAACGAGAGGAACUCCAAGUUCAUUCCCCACAAAAAACAUUCAGCUUCCUGCUCUUUUUGGGUUUCCACUGCUUUCAGUUGGAAAACCAAGUCAUCUUGAAGAUUCCAGGACACAGAAACCCAUUUCCUUAUCAAGCCAAACAUCUUCAGGUGUGCCACAGCAUGGAGUAGUUGAUGGUACCUAUCAUUAAUCCACUACUUUGCUCAGCAGAAAGCACAGGUUAACAGAACACCUGGGAACCUUAACCUGCUGAGUUUGCCCAUAAUUACUGCUUCAUUGUGUUUCUGUUUGUUUCACUAUCUCAAAAUGGAAAUUGCUAGAAUCAAACAUUCUAAGUAUCCUCACACAGUUAAUUUACUUUAUAGUCUGUAAGUUGUCAUUAAGAUACUAAAGCUUAAACUAAGUACUCACAAAUUAAAAUCUACAUGCAAUGCUUUAACUAUGCAGUUUUUAAGAAGAUUGUGUUGGAAUCAAUAACAUUUAGGUGCUACUGGUCUUUAUUCUCCUGCACAGAUAAGUGGGAUGUUUAACUGAUGUGAUGGACUGUUCACAAAACUGAACUGCCUUUUAAAAACAGGAAGUACAGAAAACAUUCCUACAUCAUUUGUCUCUUGUUAACCAACUAUCUCCUGCUUGACAUUUAAUCUAACAGCACUGGAGCUACUGUACUGACUUCAAAAUAUGUCCCUAAAACUAGAAAUGCCCUUCAUAUUACAUUCUAUUAAAAAAGUAACAGUUCAAACAUGCUAAAUUCUGGUAAUAACAUGGUAAUAACAGCAAGCAUUUGAAGCAUUUAAUACCAGACCAUCACAUUAGUGUUUACAGAAGUAGUUGGAAGAAAUUUAGGUUAGUCUUUUUAAUAAAUAUGUAGAUUCUGGCCA
This 1003-nucleotide long non-coding RNA is filed under the name Phasianus colchicus (ring-necked pheasant). Its description in RNAcentral is "lncRNA (ENSPCLG00000005783.1)". Lineage: Eukaryota; Metazoa; Chordata; Aves; Galliformes; Phasianidae. The record is from RNAcentral.